RNAcentral lists this ribosomal RNA (468 nucleotides) under uncultured bacterium. RNAcentral's name for it is "partial 16S ribosomal RNA". It matches the Rfam family "Bacterial small subunit ribosomal RNA", at positions 28 to 507 of the family's 1533-position model. The record is from RNAcentral.
GACGAACGCUGGCGGCGUGCUUAACACAUGCAAGUCGAACGGAAAGGCCCUGCUUUUGUGGGGUGCUCGAGUGGCGAACGGGUGAGUAACACGUGAGUAACCUGCCCCUGACUUUGGGAUAACUUCAGGAAACUGGGGCUAAUACCGGAUAGGAGCUCCUGCUGCAUGGUGGGGGUUGGAAAGUUUCGGCGGUUGGGGAUGGACUCGCGGCUUAUCAGCUUGUUGGUGGGGUAGUGGCUUACCAAGGCUUUGACGGGUAGCCGGCCUGAGAGGGUGACCGGCCACAUUGGGACUGAGAUACGGCCCAGACUCCUACGGGAGGCAGCAGUGGGGAAUAUUGCACAAUGGGCGGAAGCCUGAUGCAGCAACGCCGCGUGCGGGAUGACGGCCUUCGGGUUGUAAACCGCUUUCGCCUGUGACGAAGCGUGAGUGACGGUAAUGGGUAAAGAGGCACCGGCUAACUACGUG